GGACCAAAUAUUUAUGCCUGGAAAAGCCCUGAAAAGCCAGGCAAGACCUUGGUCCUAAUAUACUCAGUAUUAGGCUAAGGGAUUAGGCUUAAGAGAAAAAGGCAUGAGCCCAGAAAUGCGAGGGCGACUUGGGGAUUUAGACUCAAGAAUAAGGCUUACAUGCAAAUGCCAGAUCAGAACCAAACCAGCAGAAAGAUCCCGGGGCAGGACUGAAUCUGCAGAGAGAGGCCACAUGACACCAGAUGUGAAGAAGGGAGAUGUGAGAAAUCAUCACUUUUGAAUGAGAUUUUCCUCUCGUUUUGCAUCUGCAGCAAAUCUCUAUAAGAGCAUCAUUUCAAACAUUCUCUAACUUAAAGUUUAAGUUACGAAUAAUUUA
Long non-coding RNA from Felis catus (domestic cat), 376 nucleotides. RefSeq lists it as uncharacterized. Lineage: Eukaryota; Metazoa; Chordata; Mammalia; Carnivora; Felidae. The transcript is spliced from 2 exons. The record is from RefSeq and is a predicted model, not a curated record.